This 229-nucleotide long non-coding RNA is filed under the name Gallus gallus (chicken). The record is from RNAcentral. Lineage: Eukaryota; Metazoa; Chordata; Aves; Galliformes; Phasianidae.
CUCAGACCAAAUUUGGUCCUGUUCUAUAAAGAUGCAAGAAAACACACACCCUCUAAAGAUAAUUCUGUGACUAGACUUCUAGUCCGGAGCUACAGAGCAGAAGAUCCGAAAACAUCACAGAAACAGAUGAAGAGAGAAAAGGGAUAAAGAUACCUGAUCAGAACCAACACGUUUAAAUGACUUGUUUUCUGAAGUCAGUUGUAAAGAAUGAAAUAAAGAGAAAGCUGGA